RNAcentral lists this transfer RNA (69 nucleotides) under Gymnothorax kolpos (blacktail moray). RNAcentral's name for it is "tRNA-Trp". It matches the Rfam family "tRNA". Rfam says of the family: Transfer RNA (tRNA) molecules are approximately 80 nucleotides in length. The record is from RNAcentral. Lineage: Eukaryota; Metazoa; Chordata; Actinopteri; Anguilliformes; Muraenidae.
AGGGGCUUAGGAUAGACAGACCAAAGGCCUUCAAAGCCUUAAGCGGGAGUGAGACCCUCCCAGCCCCUG